Long non-coding RNA from Clupea harengus (Atlantic herring), 1823 nucleotides. Lineage: Eukaryota; Metazoa; Chordata; Actinopteri; Clupeiformes; Clupeidae. The record is from Ensembl.
GUGGAGACAGAGGCUACCCCGGGGUCAGCCGCCACCAUGCCGCCCCUGAUGUGAUGUGGAGCUGGGGUGAUGGUGUGUGAAUAAGGGGAGCGGAUGGUGCAUCCCGUCAUGGCCGCGGCCGAGCAGCUCAACCAUUUACAGAUGGUUGCCCGCAAACCUCACUCCGAGCGGGAGUGUUCUCUGUCUCUCUGCCUGGGUGUGCUGACACACACAGCAAGGAUGUCUUCAACCCGUCUGCUCCGAGGUGACACAUGGCUAAAUCACUGUAAGCAUGUUUAUGGCUGCCGAGGCUGAUUUCUGUUUGGUCACAGAAUAAGGCACAUUUAUUACUGGUCACGACUUAGAAAUAAUAAUAAGAAGCAUCCUUAGAAAGUGCUGCUAUCUGCUAUGCAUUUGCAUCAUCAGGUUUUUGUGUCGUCCUUUCUUAUCGCCUUGUUAACUUAGUGUUAUUUUAUCAUUUCAGGGUAAAAUUACUUUUGUGUAUAUAUAUAUAACCGCCAAUUAAUGAAACUGGCCUCCAUUCUGGUGGCAAAGACAUCACUGGCUGACAUUUGGCACCUGUUAUAUGUUAAGACGUCUGAUGUGUUGCAGACAUCCACCAAGCCAUUUGAGAAACAAUGAAACUCAGGGAGAGCAAGAUGAGGUGAGCCAAUGUAUCUCACCGCUCGGCAGUUCAACCGAAAUACCAAGGGCAGGUGGGGAAACCGUGAAGGCGAGGUUAGAAGUCAAUCCACAUAUUUGUCAGACCUGUCACAGAGUCCAUCAACCAGCCAAUCACAAGCUGCCUAAUUAGACAGUUACAUCCCUUCCUUUAAAGAACGAGUAAAAAAAAAAAAGAAGAAGAAAAAAAGAGAAAAAAGGCACCAGAAAGGAAAUGAUUCCAAGUGACUUGAGCACAAUGUGUGGAGUUAAUGGGGUGAGGGACUGUAUCCUUAAACCUUCCCCCAGUCUGAGCACACGUUCACUGUGAUCUUACUUUAAUGUUGCCAUGAGUGAAUGGACAUAUGAGGCUCUUAAUCGAAAUCAUUAAUUUAAGUAGAACUGUUUCAACCAGACGGAGCUGACAGUCCUCCAUGUAUCUCUUGCACCCUUAAGCAUGACAGUCUCCUCAUUUCAAAUAAUUGCUCCACGUGGUCUUACUGAAAAGGAAAAAAAAAAGAAAAACAGAAUUUACAUUUCUCUCAUGUGUACAGCUGAAUCUUGUGGAGGGCCUUGAACAAGCAUGUGUCCACGCCCAGAAUGCAAUAUGAGAACUUGGGAAUAUGGGAAACCUCUUUGAGAAAGAAAAGAUGGUUGAGGGGAAUUUCUAUAAGUUGGAUGACACCCUCUCUCUCUUUCCCCUGUCGAAUGAAUUCAUAUCCUCUGUUUAUCAUUCAUAUCGAUGUUUAUGCAUAAUCACAUCGCACAAUAUAUAAUUCAGUUUAAUCAACAGGCUUUAUCUCCGGCAAACGCAGUUUCUGUCAGUUUGUCUAAUAUGAGGAAGGCCAUGGGGGAAGGCUUGUCAAUGUUUGCCAGUGAGUUUGCUCAAGGAUGAGAGUGUGAUGAAUCUCCCACCUCUCUAUAUAUAUGCAGGGGACUUGAUUUUAAUUCACUGUAAAAAAAAAAAAGGAUAUGCCGCAUACAAAAGCCUAGCAUGGCUUUGAAACUCUUAAACAUUUUUUCUACCACAGAAAGGUUGAAUUAAAGAUUUAACCGUCUUACUAUAUGCAAAAAGAGCACGUCUCCUUCUUUAUUAACCUCUAUUGUCUUCUGACUGAGCCUCAAUCCUUUCUUAACAGUGAAAGCAAACAUCAAUACGGUGUAUUCUCUGCACAUAUUCUCCC